Molecule: small nuclear RNA, 106 nt
Filed under: Canis lupus familiaris (dog)
Lineage: Eukaryota; Metazoa; Chordata; Mammalia; Carnivora; Canidae
Also listed under: 1 other name
Source: RNAcentral
GUGCUCGCUUUGGCAGCACAUAUACUAAAACUGGAACGAUACAGAGAAGAUUAGCAUGGCUUUGCUCAAGGAUGACUUGCAAAUUCGUGAAGCAUUCCAUAUUUUU